Cavia aperea (Brazilian guinea pig) is the source of this 98-nucleotide small nuclear RNA. NCBI's taxonomy places the organism in Eukaryota, Metazoa, Chordata, Mammalia, Rodentia, Caviidae. The record is from Ensembl.
GUGCUCACCUGGGCAGCAAAUAUACCAAAACUGGAACCAAGAUUAGCAUGGCCCUGUGCAAAGAUGACACCCAAAUGCAUGCAGUGUCUGAGCAAUCA